AGGAUGAGCUCCAAACCACUACCAAGAACUAUGAGAGUCAGCUGAGCAUGAUGAGCGAACACCUGUGCAGUAUGAAUGAGAAGCUAACCUCUCAGAAAGAUGAGAUAGAUGCCCUCAAGCUUUCCAUUAAGCAACAAGGCAAGAAAGGGAGGGGAAAGUGAACACACACACGCCAACCAUCAAGGUACAAAAAAUCAUGGAACUUCAUUCUUCAAAAAGUGUUUCAUCACUGGAUAUAUAUUUUUUCUUUUGUUUCCCAGAGGAAAUCAUGAGAAAGCAUGUAAACGAGGCAGGACCUUGGAAUUACCAAAAAACACAUUUCACCUGCUUAUGAAUUGCUCUUAAUUAUGUAAAGGUAUAAUAAUGACCAAAUCAUUCUUCUAAUGCGUCCAUGAUCAAACUCUGUUUGCUAUGUAACCUAUCUAAAUUCAAGGAGAAAUAUCGUAAAGUUUUAUUUGUUUGAAAUUAAUAUAUAAAACAAUAGACUUCGUGUAUUUCCAAAGUGGUAAAGUACUCCCAAUUGCUACUGUGAAAUUUAAGCCAUGCCUUAUUAAAGUAAGUGUAUUCUAAACCUUUUACUUUAGAAAGUUGUUCAUUUUCUAAAUCUUGUGACAAAUGUGUAGGCUAGCCUUAAUUGUAAGUAAAUAUUUUUAACUAUGUGGGUGUGCAAGGUAUAGUUUCUUCAAAACAUAAGAAAUAUGCAACAUAUGGUACAAUUUAGCUGCUUUUUGACAAAAUGGAGCUAAUUUGGCAUAAACAGAAUUUCACAAAUUUCCUGCUACAAAGAAGAUUCCUGUGUUUUCCCAGGUUAUGAAUUAACUUCUUGGUUUUCAUUGAGGGUUAUAUUUAGUUUUGAUUUAAUUUUGAUUCAUAUGUUGACCUUCACAUAUCGGUAACUUACACUUGACUUAAUCAAUACUCGGAGCACAUUCCAUCAUUAGAACGCUGCAAAUUUUGUAGGAGAUGCUGGGCUAUCAAGUCUUUAAUACGAGCCGCCUCCGAUUUCUCAUUACAAGUAUUGGAUGUGUUUCUGAGUAAAAAUGAAACUAUACUUUAAAUGUUUUCAGCGGAAGUUCUCCCUGAUGAUUUUGUUUUAGUAAAAGCAUAGAAAUUAGAGAAAUAUCUUGGUGUAUGUUUGAUGAAAAUCCCUGAAAGGUUAGCAAGUUUAACUUUUGAAGUUUGAUUUUGCAAUGUGAGACGAGCAGCUCCUCCCUAUGUGGUGUGUUAUGAAUUUUCUUUUUAAAAAAUUUGAAAGUAAUUUUAUUCGUGGGGUGGAUAUAUCAUUAGACAAGUCAUUUUAUACCUCUUCUAUAAGAAAAAAAUAUUUGUAUACCGGUAUAUCAUGUUCCAUAAAAAAAAGGUAAUUUGGGGAAUUUAUUUUUCAUGAUAUAUGGGGGAGCUGCUCCCACAUGACGUCAGAAAUUUUGUAAAUACAUAACUCUCUUAUUCUUUGAUUGGUUUUCAUCAAAUCUUUACCAAUACAUUUCUCUAUUCUACUUUUAUUAAAACCAAUUUACCAUCGGGGUGAACAUCCCCUUUAGUAUUAUGCUGCAACAUAUAGUUUCAACAUGUAGCUGCUUUCACAAACCUAAUUACAUACCAAGUGCAUCAGACAUAAUGUUAAAUAAAAAAAAAUCAUCAAUUUAAUUGGAAAAGAUGCCAUGAACAUCAAACUUGUAUCCUGAAAAUUAAUUUCUCCCAAGUAAUCUGAUAACACUUGGAAGUAUAGAGAAACAAAUCGAUUACAAAGACAACAAGAACAUUCAUCUUUUUAUAACAAAAAAGGAUAUUCAUCUUGACUUUGAAAGUUUGGCUUUUUUUUCUAUCAGACUUGUCAUUUCAACAAUGUCCUUGAUUUAUGAUUGCCAUUAAGAUAAAUGAAAUAUUUUUUAAGGAGGAUCCAAAGUUUAGCUAAUAAUUUACCCUAUCCUGCAUAGUUCAAUCAACUCAUACAUUUUUAUCAGUUAUUUCAUUCUUUUCUGUAUAUGUUGGGUUUUUUUUAUGAAGUAGUAGUUCGUUUUUAUUACAAUUUACAUGUUUACAAAGAAAAUUGCAUAUUUUUUUUGUUGCUAUUAUAAUUGUUCCUUAAAUCUUGAGAACAUAUUAGCUGUUCCUUUGCAUAUUUGAUUUGAAUUUUGUAUGCAUUUUAUAUCAUAAUUUUUAUUUCAAGCAAUAAUAUAUUUUUUUGUUUUCAGUACUUUGCUAUUUGCCAUUUGUGUAUUUAGCCACAGUAAGGAAUUGAUUUUGGAUGUUACCAAAAUGGUUCAAGUUGACUUGAUUAGAAACAUGUAUAACUCUUUGGUAAUAAUCUUUUUGGUAUCCUUUUAUGAUUACGGAAUCAAGAGAACAAUUCUUGCCAAAAUUAUCUUUCUCAUAACAAAUAAUAUAUAUAUCUUAUCUCUUUUGGUAGUCACUGUAUUGUAUAUCUAUCUAUUGCAUUUUGAAUAUAGAUCAAACAGCAUGUAUCAUUUUUGGGGGAUCUGAAUAAUCUUUGCAAUAGAUUUGUCACCUGGCGGGCAUUAGGAUUUUCAUGUACCUCAGUUUCCGUUCCCGUUGGUCAGGGCAGAAGAGUGUUAACUCUCACACUCGCCUAAAAUUUUACAUUUGCACACAAUUACGUUAACGCCUUUAUGCCAGUCGUGCAAGCGCAUUCUACCACCCUCCUGCCAGCCAGGAAAAGAAUUAUGUACAGGUGCCGCGGAGUGGAUUUGAAAGUAGGGGGGCCUGACCAUGCAAGAAGUUACAAUCAAAUGUUGAUUAUUAUGUCUUUGUACACGUUUAUUGUAAAAAUGGGGGGCUGAUCUGAAGCACCCCCCCCCCAUUCUGUGGCUUCUGAUCUAAACUGAAAAAAGUGUGCCCAAUAUGAGUCAUUUUAUGUCCAUUUUACUCUACGAUGUCAUAUGUUCAUCAUCAAGUUAUGUUCUUGUAUUAUUCUUCAGUGCAUACCUGUCCCAUAAUAAGUCAGAAUAUUAAAAUAUGAUGACCUCUACAGGCGAUGCUAUCGGUUAAUAUUUGAUUGAAACAUAGGAACAUAUCAUCAUAACUAUAUCAUAUUUUGGACAAGACAGAAAGCUACAAUUAUUUCUUUAAAUGCAUAGUAUUAACUGAGUAUAUAUUAUAAAAAGGAGGGUAACAUGUAUUGAUAAUCAUUUUUCCUUUCAUGUUUCUUCUCCCUCUCUACCUAUAUGUCUGUCAUCUUCUGUCUCCAAAGUUUUCUUAUUACUGCUUUACAAUUUUAACAUUUGUGAGUUUCAGAAGUAUUUAGUUUUUAAUUUAGUGAUUCUAACUUGAUUUUUAAUACUAUUAUUAUGGUGGAUACCGAUAAUGGGGAAAGUUCUUGUCAUUUUUUUGUUUAAUUCCUUUCAUAUAUACAAAUAUUUUAUUUUUACAACAAUAAUGCCAGUGAAGAAUUAUUGCUAUAAAAAGGCUAGACUCCCUUAGAUAGGCAUCCAAUUAUGUAAAUAGGAUUAACUGUAGAUUGUGAAUUAUAACAGUAAUAUCAGGUGAUACAACCAGAGCAUUGUAAUUAUGGAGCUCAAUAUGUAUAAAUAAAAAAUGAAUUAUCA
Molecule: long non-coding RNA, 3566 nt
Organism: Lytechinus pictus (painted urchin)
Lineage: Eukaryota; Metazoa; Echinodermata; Echinoidea; Temnopleuroida; Toxopneustidae
Exons: 2
Source: RefSeq, a predicted model, not a curated record